AGGACGAACGCUGGCGGCGUGCUUAACACAUGCAAGUCGAGCGAACCUUCGGGUUAGCGGCGAACGGGUGAGUAACACGUGGGCAACCUGCCCCGAGCUCUGGGAUAACCCCGGGAAACCGGGGCUAAUACCGGAUAUGACCCGAGAAGACAUCUUCUCGGGUGGAAAGUUUUUCGGCUCGGGAUGGGCCCGCGGCCUAUCAGCUUGUUGGUGGGGUAACGGCCUACCAAGGCGACGACGGGUAGCCGGCCUGAGAGGGCGACCGGCCACACUGGGACUGAGACACGGCCCAGACUCCUACGGGAGGCAGCAGUGGGGAAUAUUGCGCAAUGGGCGAAAGCCUGACGCAGCGACGCCGCGUGAGGGAUGAAGGCCUUCGGGUUGUAAACCUCUUUCAGCAGGGACGAAGCGCAAGUGACGGUACCUGCAGAAGAAGCACCGGCCAACUACGUGCCAGCAGCCGC
RNAcentral lists this ribosomal RNA (464 nucleotides) under uncultured bacterium. RNAcentral describes it as "SSU rRNA". It matches the Rfam family "Bacterial small subunit ribosomal RNA", at positions 26 to 518 of the family's 1533-position model. The record is from RNAcentral.